RNAcentral lists this transfer RNA (75 nucleotides) under Fodinisporobacter ferrooxydans. RNAcentral's name for it is "Alicyclobacillaceae bacterium MYW30-H2 tRNA-Cys". It matches the Rfam family "tRNA". From Rfam's summary of the family: Transfer RNA (tRNA) molecules are approximately 80 nucleotides in length. Their secondary structure includes four short double-helical elements and three loops (D, anti-codon, and T loops). The record is from RNAcentral. Lineage: Bacteria; Bacillati; Bacillota; Bacilli; Caryophanales; Alicyclobacillaceae.
GGCGCCAUAGCCAAGUGGUAAGGCAGAGGUCUGCAAAACCUGUACUCCCCAGUUCGAAUCUGGGUGGCGCCUCCA